ACUGAAGGAAUCAGCAUGUUCUCCCUGGCCUAGAGGCCCGGGCAACCCGCUGAAACUCCUUCGUGCUGGGGAUUGGGGUUUGCAAUUAUCCCCCAUAAAC
This 100-nucleotide ribosomal RNA is filed under the name Bombyx mori (domestic silkworm). Its description in RNAcentral is "Eukaryotic small subunit ribosomal RNA". It matches the Rfam family "Eukaryotic small subunit ribosomal RNA", at positions 1502 to 1604 of the family's 1831-position model. Lineage: Eukaryota; Metazoa; Arthropoda; Insecta; Lepidoptera; Bombycidae. The record is from Rfam by way of RNAcentral. RNAcentral also lists the same sequence under 1 other name.